Molecule: ribosomal RNA, 503 nt
Filed under: Amphicrossus ciliatus
Lineage: Eukaryota; Metazoa; Arthropoda; Insecta; Coleoptera; Nitidulidae
Description: partial large subunit ribosomal RNA
Rfam family: Bacterial large subunit ribosomal RNA
Source: RNAcentral
UAUUUAAAGUCUCACCUGCCCUAUGAAUGAAAGUUUAAAUGGCCGCGGUAUCUUGACCGUGCAAAGGUAGCAUAAUCAUUAGUUUUUUAAUUGAAAGCUGGAAUGAAAGGUUGGAUGAGAAAAAAGCUGUCUCUUAAAUAUUUUAUUAGAAUUUUAUUUUUAAGUUAAAAAGCUUAAAUAUUAUUUAAAGACGAGAAGACCCUUUAGAAUUUUAAAAAAUUAAUUAUUUUGUAGUUUUAGGAAUUAUAUGAUAAAUUUAUUAUUUUUUUUUGGUUGGGGUGACUGAAAAAUUUAAUUAACUUUUUUUGAAUUUUACCAUUGAUUUAUGAAUUUUUGAUCCAUAUUUUAUGAUUAUAAGAUUAAAUUACCUAAGGGAUAACAGCGUUAUUUUUUUUGAGAGUUCUUAUCGAAAAAAGAGAUUGCGACCUCGAUGUUGGAUUAAAAUUAAAUUAUGGUGUAGGGGCUAUAACUUUAAGUCUGUUCGACUUUUAAAAUUUUACAUG